AGUGAACGCUGGCGGUAGGCCUAACACAUGCAAGUCGAACGGCAGCACAGUAAGAGCUUGCUCUUACGGGUGGCGAGUGGCGGACGGGUGAGGAAUACAUCGGAAUCUACUUUUUCGUGGGGGAUAACGUAGGAAACUUACGCCAAUAACGCAAAAGACCUACGGGUUAAAGCCGGGGGUUUUUGGACCUUGCGCCAUUGGAUGAGGCGAUGUCGGAUUAGCUAGUUGGCGGGGUAAAGGCCCACCAAGGCGACGAUCCGUAGCUGGUCUGAGAGGAUGAUCAGCCACACUGGAACUGAGACACGGUCCAGACUCCUACGGGAGGCAGCAGUGGGGAAUAUUGGACAAUGGGCGCAAGCCUGAUCCAGCCAUACCGCGUGGGUGAAGAAGGCCUUCGGGUUGUAAAGCCCUUUUGUUGGGAAAGAAAAGCAGCAGGUUAAUACCCCGCUGUUCUGACGGUACCCAAAGAAUAAGCACCGGCUAACUUCGUG
RNAcentral lists this ribosomal RNA (491 nucleotides) under uncultured bacterium. RNAcentral describes it as "partial 16S ribosomal RNA". It matches the Rfam family "Bacterial small subunit ribosomal RNA", at positions 29 to 507 of the family's 1533-position model. The record is from RNAcentral.